UACGUAGGCAGCGAGCGUUGUUCGGAGUUACUGGGCGUAAAGGGUGUGUAGGCGGUUGUUUAAGUUUGGUGUGAAAUCUCCCGGCUCAACUGGGAGGGUGCGCCGAAUACUGAGCGACUAGAGUGCGGGAGAGGAAAGUGGAAUUCCUGGUGUAGCGGUGAAGUGCGUAGAGAUCGGGAGGAACAUCAGUUGCGAAGGCGGCUCUCUGGACCAGCACUGACACUGAGGCACGAAAGCGUGGGGAGCAAACAGG
RNAcentral lists this ribosomal RNA (253 nucleotides) under uncultured bacterium. RNAcentral's name for it is "partial 16S ribosomal RNA". It matches the Rfam family "Bacterial small subunit ribosomal RNA", at positions 524 to 776 of the family's 1533-position model. The record is from RNAcentral.